This 429-nucleotide ribosomal RNA is filed under the name Gemmatimonadota bacterium. Its description in RNAcentral is "Gemmatimonadetes bacterium partial 16S ribosomal RNA". It matches the Rfam family "Bacterial small subunit ribosomal RNA", at positions 355 to 776 of the family's 1533-position model. Lineage: Bacteria; Pseudomonadati; Gemmatimonadota. The record is from RNAcentral.
UAGGGAAUCUUCGGCAAUGGACGAAAGUCUGACCGAGCAACGCCGCGUGAGUGAAGAAGGUUUUCGGAUCGUAAAACUCUGUUGUUAGAGAAGAACAAGGACGUUAGUAACUGAACGUCCCCUGACGGUAUCUAACCAGAAAGCCACGGCUAACUACGUGCCAGCAGCCGCGGUAAUACGUAGGUGGCAAGCGUUGUCCGGAUUUAUUGGGCGUAAAGCGAGCGCAGGCGGUUUCUUAAGUCUGAUGUGAAAGCCCCCGGCUCAACCGGGGAGGGUCAUUGGAAACUGGGAGACUUGAGUGCAGAAGAGGAGGGUGGAAUUCCAUGUGUAGCGGUGAAAUGCGUAGAUAUAAGGAGGAACACCAGUGGCGAAGGCGGCUCUCUGGUCUGUAACUGACGCUGAGGCUCGAAAGCGUGGGGAGCAAACAGG